RNAcentral lists this ribosomal RNA (376 nucleotides) under uncultured Planctomycetota bacterium. Its description in RNAcentral is "bacterial SSU rRNA". It matches the Rfam family "Bacterial small subunit ribosomal RNA", at positions 521 to 896 of the family's 1533-position model. Lineage: Bacteria; Pseudomonadati; Planctomycetota. The record is from RNAcentral.
UAAUACGAACGGUCCUAGCGUUGUUCGGUGUCAUUGGGCUUAAAGCGUGCGUAGGCGGAGGCGUCAGUGUCUUGUGAAAUCCCACGGCUCAACCGUGGAACUGCAGGGCAUACUGCGUCUCUUGAGGCCAGCAGAGGCGGCCGGAACUGUAGGUGUAGCGGUGAAAUGCGUAGAUAUCUACAGGAACGCCGAAGGUGAAGACAGGCCGCUGGGCUGGUUCUGACGCUCAGGCACGAAAGCGUGGGGAGCGAACAGGAUUAGAUACCCUGGUAGUCCACGCUGUAAACGAUGUGCACUAGGUUUGGGAGGUCUGACGCCUUCCGGGCCGAAAUGAAAACAUUAAGUGCACCGCCUGGGGAGUACGGUCGCAAGGCUA